AGGGCUGAAGCUCAGUGGUAGAGCGUUUGUCUGGUGCGUUUAAGGCACUGGGUUCGAUCCUCAGCAGCACAU
Non-coding RNA from Ictidomys tridecemlineatus (thirteen-lined ground squirrel), 72 nucleotides. Lineage: Eukaryota; Metazoa; Chordata; Mammalia; Rodentia; Sciuridae. The record is from Rfam.